UAUCAGUCAUGCAUAGCAUAUCAAUAAGCGGAGGAAAAGAAGCUAACAAGGAUUCCCUUAGUAACGGCGAGUGAAGCGGGAAGAGCUCAAAUUUGAAAUCUUCAAGGUUUUACCUUGACGAAUCGUAGUUUAAAGAAGUGUUUUCUGUUGAAGUUUUGGUAAAAGUUCUUUGGAAUAGGACAUCAUAGAGGGUGAGAAUCCCGUAUUUGACCAUUACUUUCAGCUUUGUGAUACACUUUCAAAGAGUCGGAUUGUUUGGGAAUGCAGUCCAAAAUGGGUGGUAAAUUUCAUCUAAAGCUAAAUAUUGGCGAGAGACCGAUAGCGAACAAGUACCGUGAGGGAAAGAUGAAAAGAACUUUGAAAAGAGAGUUAAACAGUACGUGAAAUUGUCAAAAGGGAAGCGUUUGACACCAGUGUUGUUUUCUCGAAAAUCAAUUAAAAAGAGUUGGAUUUUGUGUUGUAUUGACUUUAUCAGGCUUUCUUCACUCUUUUCCAGCUUUUUUUAAUGCACUUUUCAGUUUAACAAGUCAACAUCAGUUUCUUUUGUUGUAAAAAGGUCAUUGGAAGGUGGCUUUCUCUUCGGAGAAAGUGUUUAUAGCCUUUGACUCAUGCAAUCGGAGAGACUGAGGUCUGCAGCGUAGAUCCUUCGGGGUUAGAUACAUUUGUGCUAAGUUAUAGCUUUUCAUAGACAACUUGUUGACUAUGUUUAGUCUUGUAGCUUACUCGCUUAUGCUAUUUUACCUACGCUUAGGAUGUUGAACUCUAUCACACACAG
RNAcentral lists this ribosomal RNA (775 nucleotides) under uncultured Neocallimastigales. RNAcentral's name for it is "partial large subunit ribosomal RNA". It matches the Rfam family "Eukaryotic large subunit ribosomal RNA", at positions 22 to 621 of the family's 3401-position model. The record is from RNAcentral. Lineage: Eukaryota; Fungi; Neocallimastigomycota; Neocallimastigomycetes; Neocallimastigales.